GCGGUUGUAGUCUAGCCUGGUAGGACAUGGCCUUGCCAAGGCUAAAACCCGGGUUCAAAGCACUGCACUUUCU
Molecule: transfer RNA, 73 nt
Filed under: Microcaldota archaeon
Lineage: Archaea; Nanobdellati; Microcaldota
Description: Candidatus Micrarchaeota archaeon (hot springs metagenome) tRNA-Gly
Source: RNAcentral